Molecule: ribosomal RNA, 468 nt
Filed under: uncultured bacterium
Lineage: Bacteria
Description: partial 16S ribosomal RNA
Rfam family: Bacterial small subunit ribosomal RNA
Source: RNAcentral
GACGAACGUUGGCGGCGUGCUUAACACAUGCAAGUCGAACGGAAAGGCCCUGCUUUUGUGGGGUGCUCGAGUGGCGAACGGGUGAGUAACACGUGAGUAACCUGCCCUUGACUUUGGGAUAACUUCAGGAAACUGGGGCUAAUACCGGAUAGGAGCUCCUGCUGCAUGGUGGGGGUUGGAAAGUUUCGGCGGUUGGGGAUGGACUCGCGGCUUAUCAGCUUGUUGGUGGGGUAGUGGCUUACCAAGGCUUUGACGGGUAGCCGGCCUGAGAGGGUGACCGGCCACAUUGGGACUGAGAUACGGCCCAGACUCCUACGGGAGGCAGCAGUGGGGAAUAUUGCACAAUGGGCGGAAGCCUGAUGCAGCAACGCCGCGUGCGGGAUGACGGCCUUCGGGUUGUAAACCGCUUUCGCCUAUGACGAAGCGUGAGUGACGGUAAUGGGUAAAGAAGCACCGGCUAACUACGUG